CGGCGGACGGGUGAGUAACGCGUGGGUAACCUGCCUCAUACAGGGGGAUAACAGUUGGAAACGGCUGCUAAUACCGCAUAAGCGCACAGUACCGCAUGGUACGGUGUGAAAAACUCCGGUGGUAUGAGAUGGACCCGCGUCUGAUUAGGUAGUUGGUGAGGUAACGGCCCACUAAGGCGACGAUCGGUAGCCGGACUGAGAGGUUGAACGGCCACAUUGGGACUGAGACACGGCCCAG
Molecule: ribosomal RNA, 238 nt
Filed under: uncultured bacterium
Lineage: Bacteria
Description: partial 16S ribosomal RNA
Rfam family: Bacterial small subunit ribosomal RNA
Source: RNAcentral